RNAcentral lists this ribosomal RNA (433 nucleotides) under uncultured bacterium. RNAcentral describes it as "partial 16S ribosomal RNA". It matches the Rfam family "Bacterial small subunit ribosomal RNA", at positions 29 to 507 of the family's 1533-position model. The record is from RNAcentral.
AACGAACGCUGGCGGCAUGCCUAACACAUGCAAGUCGAACGAGACCUUCGGGUCUAGUGGCGCACGGGUGCGUAACACGUGGGAAUCUGCCCUUUGCUUCGGAAUAACAGUUAGAAAUGACUGCUAAUACCGGAUGAUGUCGAAAGACCAAAGAUUUAUCGGCAAAGGAUGAGCCCGCGUAGGAUUAGGUAGUUGGUGGGGUAAAGGCCUACCAAGCCGACGAUCCUUAGCUGGUCUGAGAGGAUGAUCAGCCACACUGGGACUGAGACACGGCCCAGACUCCUACGGGAGGCAGCAGUGGAGAAUAUUGGACAAUGGGCGAAAGCCUGAUCCAGCAAUGCCGCGUGAGUGAUGAAGGCCUUAGGGUUGUAAAGCUCAUUUACCAGGGAUGAUAAUGACAGUACCUGGAGAAUAAGCUCCGGCUAACUCCGUG